AAAAUUUUUUAUAUAGUCAUUGUAAUGGGCCAAAAUUGCCCGGCCCAAGACCCACAAACAAUAAACAAAAAAAGACCAAAACAGUCCAAUUUUUAAGCCUUGCCCAGCCCAAAUCACUAAAUAACAAACCCAAUACAAACCCAAACUAACCCAAAACCCUAAGCCCAAUCCUAUGGCCCAAAUUUUUUUUUCCCAGAAACAGCAAACCCUAGCACUUAGGCACUCCCUUUGGCCGGCGCCGCCUCCACCUUCACGCCACACCCGCAUUUCGCGCCUUCAUGUUCGCUCCACGUAGCCGUUACGCUCGCGCCUCCAUGCCUGCAAAAAAAAUGGGAAGCAGUACCAGAAAGUGCAACGAAAUAGGAGCAAGUUGUUUUGUUUUUUUUUCCUUUUCGGCUAUAAAGGCCGAAACAAAAUCAUUGUAAGGGGGGAUUGACUUUUGAAUACAAAAUACACAAAAGAGAAAUAGAGAGCAAGCCAAAAGAAUACUUUAAAGGUGGUUCUGUCGCUGUUAUAUGCUGUUUUUUUUUCCCUCUUUUAUUUUUUUAUUUUGAUUCAAAUCCACAACACACACAUAGUAUAAGAGGGAGUGAAAGAGGUUUACCGGAGUCGUACUCGGGAUAUCGAGGGGGUUAAAUACCUCGUUUACGUGGGUCGGGCCACCGUCUGCGGACAUGGUGUGUCGUAUCUCCGAUGGGAACGGCGCUGGCCGAAUGGGGAAGGAAAUGAGAAAAACAUUUUUUUAGUUUUAGGGUUUUUUCCAAAAACAAAGGUUAAAAUGUUUUAAAACAAUUUUUUUUUUGUUUAAAUAAAGCCCAAACGGCACUGUUUCAAUGCUGGCCGGCGCGCGCACCGACCCAACCCGGGGAGGAUCCACGCAUUUCUCUGCUUCGGGGAAUUUUUGAUAUUAAUCAUUCCCUUCUGCGAUGCUAUUCGAUUAGGUCUUUUUACCUCUUCUAAUUUUUCCUAGAAAUUUUAUGAAAGUUUCAUUUUGAUCCAUACUUAAACGCUGCGUUCAAGAACUUGGAAUAAUCGUUUUCGAUCCCCUCACACUUGCACACAUUACGCUUUAGACCCUAUUUCAAUUUCAAUGAUUUUUUUAUUUGUUAAUUGCCUC
This 1117-nucleotide long non-coding RNA is filed under the name Gossypium barbadense (sea-island cotton). RNAcentral describes it as "long non-coding RNA (GBAR_LNC001255)". Lineage: Eukaryota; Viridiplantae; Streptophyta; Magnoliopsida; Malvales; Malvaceae. The record is from RNAcentral.